CACGUAGGGCGCGAGCGUUGUCCGGAAUUAUUGGGCGUAAAGAGCUCGUAGGCGGCUUGUCGCGUCGACUGUGAAAACUCGGGGCUCAACUCCGAGCUUGCAGUCGAUACGGGCAGGCUAGAGUUCGGUAGGGGAGACUGGAAUUCCUGGUGUAGCGGUGAAAUGCGCAGAUACCAGGAGGAACACCGGUGGCGAAGGCGGGUCUCUGGGCCGAUACUGACGCUGAGGAGCGAAAGCGUGGGGAGCAAACAGG
RNAcentral lists this ribosomal RNA (253 nucleotides) under uncultured bacterium. RNAcentral's name for it is "partial 16S ribosomal RNA". It matches the Rfam family "Bacterial small subunit ribosomal RNA", at positions 524 to 776 of the family's 1533-position model. The record is from RNAcentral.